GGCUCAGAAUCAACGCUGGCGGCGCGCCUAACACAUGCAAGUCGAACGAGAAAGCGGGAGCAAUCUCGCAAGUAAAGUGGCGUACGGGUGAGUAACACGUGGGUAAUCUACCUUCUGGUGGGGAAUAACCUUGGGAAACCGGGGAUAAUACCGCAUAAGCUCGAGAGAGGAAAGCAGCAAUGCGCCGGAAGAGGAGCCCGCGGCCGAUUAGCUUGUUGGCAGGGUAAAAGCCUACCAAGGCUGAGAUCGGUAGCCGGCCUGAGAGGGCACACGGCCACACUGGCACUGAAACACGGGCCAGACUCCUACGGGAGGCAGCAGUGGGGAAUCUUGCACAAUGGGGGAAACCCUGAUGCAGCGACGCCGCGUGAGCGAUGAAGCCCUUCGGGGUGUAAAGCUCUUUCGGCAGGGACGAUAAUGACGGUACCUGCAGAAGCAGCUGCGGCUAACUACGUGCCAGCAGCCGCGGUAAUACGUAGGCAGCAAGCGUUGUUCGGAGUUACUGGGCGUAAAGGGUGCGUAGGCGGUCCUUUAAGUUUGGUGUGAAAUCUCCCGGCUUAACUGGGAGGGUGCGCCGGAUACUGAGGGACUAGAGUGCGGGAGGGGAGAGUAGAAUUCCUGGUGUAGCGGUGAAAUGCGUAGAUAUCAGGAGGAAUACCGGUGGUGUAAACGGCUCUCUGGACCGUAACUGACGCUGAGGCACGAAAGCGUGGGUAGCAAACAGGAUUAGAUACCCUGGUAGUCCACGCCCUAAACGAUGCAUGCUUGGUGCGGGUGAUUCAGUUCAUCUGUGCCGGAGCUAACGCGUUAAGCAUGCCGCCUGGGGAGUACAGUCGCAAGGCUGAAAACUCA
RNAcentral lists this ribosomal RNA (852 nucleotides) under uncultured bacterium. Its description in RNAcentral is "bacterial SSU rRNA". It matches the Rfam family "Bacterial small subunit ribosomal RNA", at positions 21 to 903 of the family's 1533-position model. The record is from RNAcentral.